RNAcentral lists this long non-coding RNA (404 nucleotides) under Gallus gallus (chicken). Its description in RNAcentral is "lncRNA (ENSGALG00010025450.1)". Lineage: Eukaryota; Metazoa; Chordata; Aves; Galliformes; Phasianidae. The record is from RNAcentral.
UAAUUAUUAACAGGGCAGUCGCCGCUUCGCAACUUUGAGCUGCUUGUAUCUUGUCCCCUUACCCUGUGGACCAGCAAGCUGGGGGAGGCAGCAGCUCUGCAGGGCAGGAGAUGGGGCUCUGGCGCUGCGCUCCAUCUCUGUGCAUCUCAGCAAACACAGAAACACAUUAUCGUAAGUGCUUCUCACCUACACAGGAAUUGUUCACAAGGUUAGCUGAGGGUUCUCUUCCCAUGGAGGGGCAGGGAGAAGGCCGUGUGCUGCUCUCUGCACGAGGGAUGUGCUCGGGAUUUGGGCACACAGCACAGCUGCCCCCAGAGCUGGGCCAGCUCCAUCCACACUCUGCAUCAUUCAUCGGUUUAUUGCUGAUCACUUUAUAUUUGGCUGGAAGUUUUUGCACAUCCAAG